Molecule: ribosomal RNA, 497 nt
Filed under: uncultured bacterium
Lineage: Bacteria
Description: partial 16S ribosomal RNA
Rfam family: Bacterial small subunit ribosomal RNA
Source: RNAcentral
GACGAACGCUGGCGGCGUGCCUAAUACAUGCAAGUUGAGCGAUGAAGCUUGGUGCUUGCACCAAUUUGAAGAGCAGCGAACGGGUGAGUAACGCGUGGGGAAUCUGCCUUUGAGCGGGGGACAACAUUUGGAAACGAAUGCUAAUACCGCAUAACAACUUUAAACAUAAGUUUUAAGUUUGAAAGAUGCAAUUGCAUCACUCAAAGAUGAUCCCGCGUUGUAUUAGCUAGUUGGUGAGGUAAAGGCUCACCAAGGCGAUGAUACAUAGCCGGCCUGAGAGGGUGAUCGGCCACAUUGGGACUGAGACACGGCCCAAACUCCUACGGGAGGCAGCAGUAGGGAAUCUUCGGCAAUGGACGAAAGUCUGACCGAGCAACGCCGCGUGAGUGAAGAAGGUUUUCGGAUCGUAAAACUCUGUUGGUAGAGAAGAACGUUGGUGAGAGUGGAAAGCUCAUCAAGUGACGGUAACUACCCAGAAAGGGACGGCUAACUACGUG